AUGUUAGUCACACAUACCAGAGCAGGAGGGGUUCAGGUGAGAGGCCAAAGGCCGGGCGGUCUCCAGCUGGAGCCAGGGCCCGCUCCAAAUCCGAUCUGUCACAGAGCGCAGCCCUGCAGGAUUUACAGGGAGCCGUCGUACCUGCUGCAUCAGCGCUGGCACGAGGACGCUGCACCGCUGAAAUGUGUCCGGGCCGUGGUACUCUCCAGCAAACUGGGGAGUUUUCAAGUGGACAGAUUGAGAAUCUGGCCGCCAGCGCGUGCCAGCUCCGCGCCGCCGGUGCCAGUCCGAGACGACCACCUGUUCCAAAGACCACAGCGACUGCGUCGCCGCCUCGGCCAAUCCGGCUCAGACGCAGCGAAGGUGUCUGCUUGCCUUGAUUUCUCUAUUCAUGACUUGCGCAGCUGCCUUGUGUGGAAGCAAAUACGCAGCCUGUUAGUAAUUUAUCUGGAGGAAAAUCUUUCUCUACCCACUUUUUUCCACGUUGGGCAAAUGCUGCAGGCCCCAAUAAAGGGAGAGGAACGCGCUUUAAUGGAGUUCAUAAAUCUGUAUUUCAUGCUGCCAACUCCGAGCGGCGUACACUGUUUUGUCUCCCUCUCUCGCCCCCCGCCUGAGUUGGUAAUCUCGUUAAAGUUCAGUGUUUCCAGAGCCGUCUCCUCCGGGAGCCGGGCUUCCUGAUGCCAUCCUCUUUCAGCAGUUUACCCUCUGUAGAGGUCUGAUGGCCUGUUUCCGCUGCUCAGACCCACUGUGUGGAAACGGACGCCGGCAUCGUGAUGGUGUGAUUGCUGUCCUACAUCGCUCCACAGAGGGCAGCACUUCAUUAAACACAAAUUGUUAACACAUGGGAUGUGUUUAUUAAGUUGAAACCCAGACCAUUAUGGGCCCAACUGUCUUGCUCCUGCUGUGCCACCAUUAAAAACACCUGUGCCUGGAGGACACAACAAACACGUUUGUUUUUAUUCUUUUUUAUCGCAUUGGUGGUUUGCUGUGAUUUGCUCACGUCCUGUUGCAGCUACAGUAAGAACCAAAUUGAAACUAAUGGACGGACGCGGCCACAUGGAUGAAUAGACGCCCAGCGAGCCGUCCUGUUUCGCUUUACAGCCGCCUCGGUUCCCGAGCGAACGCCGUGCGACUCGAUGGCCCGUUAAGGGAAUCUGGGGAAAUAAUGACAAGCCUUCAAUAAAAAAACGACUUAAACAAAUGGCGCUCA
This 1210-nucleotide long non-coding RNA is filed under the name Betta splendens (Siamese fighting fish). RNAcentral describes it as "lncRNA (ENSBSLG00000026656.1)". The record is from RNAcentral. Lineage: Eukaryota; Metazoa; Chordata; Actinopteri; Anabantiformes; Osphronemidae.